This 253-nucleotide ribosomal RNA is filed under the name uncultured bacterium. RNAcentral describes it as "partial 16S ribosomal RNA". It matches the Rfam family "Bacterial small subunit ribosomal RNA", at positions 524 to 776 of the family's 1533-position model. The record is from RNAcentral.
UACGUAGGGUGCGAGCGUUAAUCGGAAUUACUGGGCGUAAAGCGUGCGCAGGCGGUUCGUUGUGUCGGUGGUGAAAUCCCCGGGCUCAACCUGGGAAUUGCGUUGGAGACUGCAAGGCUAGAAUCUGGCAGAGGGGGGUAGAAUUCCACGUGUAGCAGUGAAAUGCGUAGAGAUGUGGAGGAACACCGAUGGCGAAGGCAGCCCCCUGGGUCAAGAUUGACGCUCAUGCACGAAAGCGUGGGGAGCAAACAGG